GUGCCAGCCGCCGCGGUAAUACGGAGGGUGCGAGCGUUAAUCGGAAUUACUGGGCGUAAAGCGCGCGUAGGCGGUUUUGUAAGUCGGAUGUGAAAUCCCCGGGCUUAACCUGGGAACUGCAUUCGAUACUGCAUAACUAGAGUAUGGUAGAGGGAAGUGGAAUUUCCGGUGUAGCGGUGAAAUGCGUAGAUAUCGGAAGGAACUCCAGUGGCGAAGGCGACUUCCUGGGCCAAUACUGACGCUGAGGUGCGAAAGCGUGGGGAGCAAACAGGAUUAGAUACCCUAGUAGUCC
RNAcentral lists this ribosomal RNA (292 nucleotides) under uncultured prokaryote. RNAcentral describes it as "partial 16S ribosomal RNA". It matches the Rfam family "Bacterial small subunit ribosomal RNA", at positions 505 to 796 of the family's 1533-position model. The record is from RNAcentral.